CACGCCCUAAACGAUGAAUACUCGAUGUUAGCGAUAUACAGUUAGCGUCAAAGCGAAAGCGUUAAGUAUUCCACCUGGGGAGUACGCCCGCAAGGGUGAAACUCAAAGGAAUUGACGGGG
This 120-nucleotide ribosomal RNA is filed under the name uncultured bacterium. Its description in RNAcentral is "partial 16S ribosomal RNA". It matches the Rfam family "Bacterial small subunit ribosomal RNA", at positions 796 to 918 of the family's 1533-position model. The record is from RNAcentral.